Molecule: non-coding RNA, 213 nt
Organism: Pelobates cultripes (western spadefoot toad)
Lineage: Eukaryota; Metazoa; Chordata; Amphibia; Anura; Pelobatidae
Source: the annotation of a GenBank genome assembly
CUCCAAUAUGUUACCUCCCCCACACAUGCAGACAAACAGAUACACAUACAUACAGGCACGCAUAUAAAGACACACACACAUACAUACAAACACACACAUACAUACAGACACACAGACAUACAGACAGACACACAUACAUACACACUGACAUACAAACACACAUACACCUACAUAGAAACAUAUAAUGUGACGGCAGAUAAGAACCAUUCGGCC